Molecule: long non-coding RNA, 1478 nt
Filed under: Homo sapiens (human)
Lineage: Eukaryota; Metazoa; Chordata; Mammalia; Primates; Hominidae
Description: HSALNT0216089
Source: RNAcentral
CUGUCCUGGACACCCCUCCAGUGACACCUCAUUAACAGAGGAGCAUGGACGCCAGGGCACACCCUGCGUAACACUGUAAGUGUUCCCCGGCUGCUUCCAAGUGCCAAGGGAUGUUCUCUCCACUUCUUCUUCAUCCAAGAAGUUUAGGCAAACCAGCACAUUACUGUCUGGGGUCAUUCUCAGUCCUCAGCACCAGGGGACUGGCACCCAGGGAGCUUGAUUCCAUGAGUAACUGGCCUUCCCAAGAGGCCAGUUCUCUCAACACACUUGGGAAGAGACCGAGGCCAGAGGGGACAAGACUGGCCCACUGUCACUCAGUGAGUUGGUGACACUGUGGGGAUCUGGACAGACCCCAGGGCACUGACCUCCCAGCACAAGGCUUUUUCUACCAUGCACCUUGCCACGACCUGGCCCCAGCAGACCCCCCACAUUCUCCUCCCAAGAAGCGAGGCCAACUUUCAGUUCAGCUGAGGUCACCCAGAACUCCCGGUGGCUUUUGUCACAUCCAGCCUUACACUCCCAUCAGUGCCAAUGUCCCCAACCAGCCCUACCACCAAACUAGCAAUCUUCUGAACCCCAUGCUGUGAAGAACAAAGGACCAAUUCAGCCUCCUGGGCAGGGAAGGGGUCUCAUUAAGGCCCUGGGAGCCAACGUGGGGGCUGAGGUAUUGUUUUUAAUGGAAUAACAAGAAUUUGCUGUUAUGUGUUAGAUUAAAGGCUUUAUCCUGGGGAAUUAAUCGGAUUGCUACUGGCCUUGAGUCGCAUAGCCUUUGACUUCACAUCCUCAGAGAAGUCACAGACCAGGGCUGUGAAAUUGGUUCAUUUCUCUUUCUGGUAUUUAAUGAAGCCCCAGACAGCCGUGGCACGGCAUCUCCUCCCCAGGGCGGCUGUGAAUUACCUCUCACCUGCACUGGCGACAGUCUCUGAGCACUCACCAGCCCACCCCCCUCCUCCGCUAAUCCAUCCAAGACACACUGCCAGAUUCAUCCUCGGAAAACAUAGCUCUGGUCACGAACUGCUCAGAAGCCUGGGUCUGCCCACCGCCUCCAGAAUAAUCUUCAAAUUCUCCCAUCCCCUGAGCUCCUGUUUCAACAAACUUCAACUUUUUAUUGGAGUAUAAUACACAGGUGGAAUAGUACAUGGAUUGGAGGUGUACAUAUUGAAUUUUCACAGAGUAGCGGUGCAGGCCUCUAGCCAUCCCCCAGAACAAGAAACAGAACCAUGCCAACGCCCCAGAAAACCUCCCACCACACCUCCCUUCCGGUUGGCAGCCUUCUGUCCCAGGGGUGACAAUUACUCUGCUUUCCACACUAUUUUUAAGUGGUUUUUACAUUUUUAUACAUGAAAUUAUACAGUACGUUGUGUAUGCUUUUGUGUUCAAUAUGCUUUAAAAAGGUGGCCUCUCCUUCCAGCUCUGCAUACCCCACACAGCCAGGAAAUAGUAGGCACCUCCCAGACAGACCCCACCAUGCGACCCUG